RNAcentral lists this long non-coding RNA (442 nucleotides) under Strix occidentalis caurina (northern spotted owl). RNAcentral's name for it is "lncRNA (ENSSOCG00000002496.1)". The record is from RNAcentral. Lineage: Eukaryota; Metazoa; Chordata; Aves; Strigiformes; Strigidae.
UGCAAACACAUCCCAGCGCUGCCAAGCCCCAAUUAAUAGCCUGUGAAUCACGGUGCCGUUGGAAGAGCAGAUGUUUGUGGCACGGUUGCCAGCGCUCGGUGUUCCGCCGAGGGUCUGUUUGGCCUUAAACCGGCAGCUUCGGGCGGCAGGUGGUGGCCGGAGCCUCGCUGCCUGCCUGGCCCUCUCCCGCGGCGGGGCCGGGAGCCGUUUGGGCUGGGAAUUAGCUGAAGUUUUUGGUGGGCAGAGCGGAGCGGGAGAACAGCCUGUCUGUGGGCGUGUGGGGGUGCCGCUUCGGAGCCGGAGGACUGCGAAAGCUGCAGAGCCUGCUGCCCCCGGGACACCCAGUGUGGAGGAGCUGCCGCCGGCCGGGGCCAUGAGGACAGCAUCCCCCUGAGCGCCGGGCGAUGAGCCCGCAGGGACAACCCUGCAAGAUGCCGAGGCU